This 107-nucleotide transfer RNA is filed under the name Truncatella angustata. It matches the Rfam family "tRNA". Rfam says of the family: Transfer RNA (tRNA) molecules are approximately 80 nucleotides in length. Their secondary structure includes four short double-helical elements and three loops (D, anti-codon, and T loops). The record is from Rfam by way of RNAcentral. Lineage: Eukaryota; Fungi; Ascomycota; Sordariomycetes; Amphisphaeriales; Sporocadaceae.
GGCACUUUGGCGGAGUGGUUAACGCGCUGCCCUGCUAUCUUUCUCUGCGAUAGAUAUCGGUAUAGGCAGUUCCCUCGGGAGCGUGUGUUCGAAUCACACAGGUGUCG